RNAcentral lists this ribosomal RNA (496 nucleotides) under uncultured bacterium. Its description in RNAcentral is "partial 16S ribosomal RNA". It matches the Rfam family "Bacterial small subunit ribosomal RNA", at positions 28 to 506 of the family's 1533-position model. The record is from RNAcentral.
GAUGAACGCUGGCGGCGUGCCUAAUACAUGCAAGUCGAGCGAACAGACGAGGAGCUUGCUCCUCUGACGUUAGCGGCGGACGGGUGAGUAACACGUGGAUAACCUACCUAUAAGACUGGGAUAACUUCGGGAAACCGGAGCUAAUACCGGAUAAUAUAUUGAACCGCAUGGUUCAAUAGUGAAAGACGGUUUUGCUGUCACUUAUAGAUGGAUCCGCGCCGCAUUAGCUAGUUGGUAAGGUAACGGCUUACCAAGGCAACGAUGCGUAGCCGACCUGGGAGGGUGAUGGGCCACACUGGAGCUGAGACACGGCCCAGACUCCGAGGGGAGGCAGCAGUAGGGAAUCUUCCGAAAGGGGCGAAAGCCUGACGGAGCAACGCAGCGUGGGUGAAGAAGGUCUUCGGAUCGUAAAACGCUGUUAUGGGGGAAGAACAAAUGUGUAAGUAACGAUGCACGUCUGGACGGUACCGAAACAGAAGGCCACGGCUAAUUCCGG